AGAACAAACGCUGGCGGCGUGUCUUAAGCAUGCAAGUUGAGCGGCAAGGAGGAGAGAUCCUCCCUAGAGCGGCGGACUGGUGAGUAACGCGUGGGUAAUCUAUCGUAGGCAGUGGGGAUAGUCACUAGAAAUAGUGGGUAAUACCGAAUACGUUCCAUGAGGGGAGUAUUCAUGGAAGAAAGGGUGCUACGGCACUGGCCUUAGGUGAGCUCGCGUCCCAUUAGCUAGUUGGUGAGGUAAAGGCCCACCAAGGCGAUGAUGGGUAGCCGGCCUGAGAGGGUGUACGGCCACACUGGGACUGAGAUACGGCCCAGACUCCUACGGGAGGCAGCAGCUAAGAAUAUUCCGCAAUGGACGAAAGUCUGACGGAGCGACGCCGCGUGGAUGAAGAAGGCCGAAAGGUUGUAAAGUUCUUUUGCUGGGGGAGAAUAAGUGAGGGAGGGAAUGCCCUCAUGAUGACAAGGACUAGCGAAUAAGCCCCGGCCAACUACGUG
This 494-nucleotide ribosomal RNA is filed under the name uncultured bacterium. Its description in RNAcentral is "bacterial SSU rRNA". It matches the Rfam family "Bacterial small subunit ribosomal RNA", at positions 26 to 507 of the family's 1533-position model. The record is from RNAcentral.